ACGGCCAUACCACAUUGAAAACACCGGUUCUCGUCCGAUCACCGAAGUUAAGCAAUGUCGGGCCCGGUCAGUACUUGGGAGGGUGACCACCUCCGGGUUC
RNAcentral lists this ribosomal RNA (100 nucleotides) under Cordylochernes scorpioides. The record is from RNAcentral. Lineage: Eukaryota; Metazoa; Arthropoda; Arachnida; Pseudoscorpiones; Chernetidae.